This 600-nucleotide long non-coding RNA is filed under the name Brassica rapa (field mustard). RNAcentral's name for it is "long non-coding RNA (BRAP_LNC006954)". Lineage: Eukaryota; Viridiplantae; Streptophyta; Magnoliopsida; Brassicales; Brassicaceae. The record is from RNAcentral.
UAUUAUUUAUUUUACUAUAUAUUUUUUAAAUAGAUGUUUAAUGUAUUUUUUAGUUUUCUUAUAGUGUAUAUAUACUUAUUAUUUAUUUUUUCUUAUAUUAUGCAUUUACUUAUCUAAUAUUAUGAUAGAUGUUUAAUAUAAUAUUUCUAUAUCUUAUAUUGUAUAUUUACUUAUUAUUUAUUUUACUAUACAUUUUUCAGAGAGAUUGUUUUUAGUUUUUUCAUUUCUUAAUUGUAUAUGUACUUAUUGUUUAUUUUUUCUUAUGUUGUAUAUUUAUUUAUUAUAAUUGUUUUUCUUUUAUAUGAAAUUGUAAUAUUAUGAUAGAUGUUUAAUGUAAUAUUUAUUUUUCUUAUAUUGUAUAUUUAUUUUUUGUUUAUUUUAUUAUACAUUUUUGAUAGAUGUUUAAUGUAUUUUUUAUAUUUCAUAUAUUAUAUAUUUACUUAUUAUUUUUAUAUAUUAACUUAUUCUAAUAUUAUAAUAGAUGCUUAAUUUAAUAUUUUUUAUUUCUUAUACUGUAUAUUUACUUAUUAUUUAUUUUAAUAUACAUCGUACAUAUAUAUUUUAAUUUAAUUGUUCUAUUUCUUAUAUUGUAUAUUUUCU